Molecule: RNA transcript, 9650 nt
Organism: Betta splendens (Siamese fighting fish)
Lineage: Eukaryota; Metazoa; Chordata; Actinopteri; Anabantiformes; Osphronemidae
Exons: 8
Source: RefSeq, a predicted model, not a curated record
ACAACAUGUCCAGAGCUGAAGGUGACAGUAAUGAGCAAAUUCACAACUUGGACAACGGCACUGCCGCUUCUUCAGGAUCCUGACGUAAAGGAUAACACCUGUUCAUGAUGUGCGCAAGAUGGUGUAAGAGCAGAGAACUACUGGAAACAGAAAACAGAAGUACAGAGACUUGCCCUAUUGGAAAGGUAAUGUCAGUUACUCGUUGUGGGCGUGGCUGAAUUGAAGCAGACUCACCCCAGACCAUGUGUGCGAGCACGGAGAUUUACGGCAGACUCACUGCCUUCAUGCUUCUUCAAGUUUAAUCUCAGAUGCCCUGUGUGUGUGUCAGUCAAGCUAGCGAUGCUAAGAUCGAAGACUUCAACACGUUUUCUAAUUAUUGCACCCUUGGUAAGCGGAGCGAGUUUUCACGGUGCUUGAAGGAUGCUCAAGUGUUGCUGGACAAACUUCUGUGGAUGACACCAGCAAAUAAACUCACCGCACUCCUUCAUCUGCCACGGAAGCAAGAUUCUACAACAUGCUGCGUGGAUGCUACAGCUGCAGUAAGAAACUUUGGCACACUUGUGUAUAAAGCAACGCAAAAAAACACAAGAUAAGAACAUUUACACCUGCUCAUCUAAUUCAGUAAGGCAAUCCAAAGUAAGUUAUACGAGUAAUGAGUAUCAGGAUUAAAGCCUAAAUAAUUUCAGUCUUGCAAAGUAAUAGUGUAUCUUAGAUCAGCAACAUCCUAUUAGAUCCAAAGGUCUAAGGCCCAAACGUCUGUUAUCUUUAUUUGUGAGCUUACACUGUGUGUGAUUGCUAAUCUUGGGUGUCCAUUAAGUGUAAAUGUCUGAUGUGACAUAGUGUUAACAAUAAGUUAAAACCAUCUCUCAACUACUUUGAGUCCAGACAUAAAACACUCAAGUUUUAUAAUUAACCUCGCAGUGCAGACGUACAAACAAAAUGUUAACGCCUGUGGAAACAGACAAACUCCUGGAAGCGCAACAGGUCAGGUCCAGCUCUCGUGAGCGACGCUUAACAGAGAAGGGUCAGGAGAUGCAUGAACAGGAAGCAAGGAAAACUGAAAAGGCAUUCAAUAAGGCAUAUGACUCUUGGAAGCAAACAGCAAAAGAGAUAAGAGUCAGACUGAAGAGUUAUUGCUCACUAGAAGACCUUGGUAAAAGCCAAAGAGACAUUAAGGCUGGACAUGCCAUUGUACAGAAGCAUUAUGAGACAAUUCUACUUAACCACACCUCUGCUCCAGACAUUGUCAAGAGAAUGGAUGCAUGUGUCACUCUGACAGCUGAGACUUGUGAACUUGUCAGUAAGCGACUAGAGAGUAUAGAUGAAGCCUUCAAUGAUCAACUCGAAAAGGAAAGAGUAAGGAUGGUUUUAAAUAAAGAAGAGUAUGGAUCUGUUUUUGGCAACACAAAUACAGAAACAGUAAUUUCAGAGUCACCACGAGGCUCAGACAGUGACUCAAACAUCACCUCCAGGUCCUCCACCAAACGUGCAGACGCAGAAGCAGACCUUGCAGCCAAAUUAGAACAGGCAAAGGCUGUGCAACAAAUACAAGCCCAACAAGCCAAGUUAAAUAAAAUGGAAAGUGAAUGGAAACUUAAAGAAUCACAAAUGCUAUCUGAAAUUAGGCAAAGGGAGGCAGAAAUGAAAUCAAAACUUGAAGAUGAGCAACUAAGGUUACGACAAAUGCAAGCAGAAAAUGAGGUUAAGGUAGCAGCAGCAAGAGUAAGAGUAUACAACAUUUUUGAUGGUGUUGAGAAUAACGAAGAGUCUGACUACAAAAUACUACCUAGUUGCCAAAAUGUUAAAAUAGAGACCCCACUAAACCCACAAGCUGCAGAAUUUCAGCGUCAUCAUGCAACAUUGGAAGCCCAAUCAACUCAGGAUGCAGUCAGCUUGGCCCAGGCAAUUGCAAGCUCACUCACCUUAAACCGUCUGCCUGUUCCAGAACCCACAGUCUUCACUGGGGACCCUUUAAAGUUUUUAGAUUGGAAGUUAUCCUUCACGACUCUCAUUGACCAGAAGCCUUUGCCAGUUAGUGAAAAAAUGCUUUAAAAAUGCUUAAAAAGUUAUCUUGCAGGUGAAGCACAAAAGGCUGUGAAGGGAUUUUUCUACCGAAACACAGAAGAUGCAUAUAAUGGUGCCUGGACAGUCCUGCAAGACAGGUAUGGAAGUCCAUUCAUUAUCCAAAGGGCAUUUAGAGACAAGCUCACAAAGUGGCCCAAAAUAGCGGCAAAUGACCCCCUUGCACUCAGGGAUUUUGCAGACUUCCUCCAAGGCUGUGCUGAGGCUAUACCCCAUGUUAAGGGUCUGGCCAUCCUAAAUGAUUGUGAGGAAAAUUACAAACUCCCCAGAAAACUGCCAGAGUGGUUGGUCUACAGAUGGAGCCGAAUCAUUGUGGAGGAAUUAGACAAACAGGGAGAUUAUCCAAGCUUUGCACGGUUUACAGAGUUCAUGCAGAGAGAAGCACGGAUAGCUUGUAACCCUAUUGCUUCCCCAUUCUUGAUGAACACUAGAACUACAGAUGAGAGAGUUCCAAAGAGAGCCAAAGCACUCAGAACAAGUGUUCAACUGGGAAAUUCCACCUCUAAGUUACCAGAACCCUCAAACUCGAGGUCAAAACCACCCUGCUUAGUCUGCAAGGAUGAAACACAUGGUCUUGCUAAGUGCCCUACAUUUGCAGCAAGGACUACGGAUGAAAAGAGAAUUUUCAUUCACGUAAAUCACCUUUGCUUUGGGUGUUUAAGGAAGGGACACAACACCAAGGACUGUAAAAGGCGACACACCUGCAACACGUGCGGUCGACGUCACCCAACAUGCUUGCACAGAGAAAACAAUGGGUCUGUAGAACCAAUAAGUAGCAGUUCUGUUGUUGCAAGAGAUAAUUCAAGCAAAGAGAUUCACAAGGUUAUGGCCCAUGCAAUCACACAGCACAGUUCUGCCACCUCAAGUAUUGUCCCUGUCUUUGUGUCAUCAGCAGCGGAACCUCAGAGAGAAAUUUUAACUUACACCCUGCUCGACACACAGUGAUUCAACUUUCAUCUUAGAGGAUCUAGUGGAUGAACUGAAUGUAGACACUCAAGCAGUGCAGCUAAGACUUAGCACAAUGACAGCUGCCGCCACAGUCAUCACAAGUAAAAUUGCUUGCGCUCUGCAAAUUCGGGGAUUCAACACAGGAACGUUCAUCCAACUACAGCAAGCCUACACGCGAGACUUCAUUCCUGUUGAUAAGUCUCACAUUCCUACAACGAAGACAGCUCUGCAGUGGCCUUACCUAAAACACUUAGCAAAUCAGCUGCCCCCACUUCAAGACUGUGAGGUAGGGUUGCUUAUUGGUUAUAACUGCCCAUCAGCUCUGGCACCUUUAGAGGUCAUUACAGGUAAUGAAAAUGAACCUUUUGCACAAAGAACUGUACUAGGCUGGAGCAUUAUAGGUUUAACCAAUCCCCACCUAGACAGGAAAGGGCACCAGAGCCUAGUGCACAGAAUUUCAGUGAAGGAAGUUCCACUGCCAUCUGCAAAUGAUGUUUUAAAGGUCCUGGAAUCUGACUUUAGUGAAAGGAGCUAUGAGGACAAAUACGUGUCGCAAGAUGGUGUUCGCUUUGUACAACUCCUCAGUGUCCAUCUUUCCUUUGUCGGAUGCUGUUGCUAUGAGAUGCCCCUCCCUUUCAAGGGUAGUAGUCCACCUUCGCUACCAAAUAACAAAAGGCUGGCGUUGGUUCGGUUGCAACACCUGAAGAAGUUGUUACAAGCAAACAAGCAGUAUUAUGAUCAUUACACGUCAUUCAUGGAGGAAACGAUAAGCAAAGGUGAUGCAGAGCUGGCCCCUUCAAUAUCAGAGGGAGAGACACUGUGGUACAUUCCCCACCAUGGAGUGUACCACCCCAGGAAGCCAGACAAAGAAAGAGUUGUUUUUGACUGCUCAGCAAAGUUCCGUGGUAUCUCCCUAAAUGACUCACUGCUCACAGGCCCAGAUCUGAUCAACUCCUUAGUAGGAGUUCUUUGUCGCUUUAGGAAAGAAACAGUUGCUGUAGUAUGCAACAUUGAAAGGAUGUUUCACCAAUUCUACGUGGCGCCUGAACAUCGCAACUACUUGAGACUCCUGUGGUGGGAAGAUGGACAGCUGCAAUCAGAGCCAAAAAAGAGUACAGAAUGGCAGUCCACCUCUUCGGCGCGGCCUCCUCCCCUGGAUGUGCCAACUUUGGCCUUAAGUACCUGGCACGACAACACAAAGAUAACUUUCCUUCAGCCUCAGCCUUUAUUGAGAAGAACUUCUAUGUAGACGAUGGUCUGGUGAGCGUGCAAUCAAUUGAAGAAGCCAAGAAUCUAAUCAUUGAAGCACAGAAGUUAUGCAAAGAUGCAGGUCUGCGUUUGCACAAGUUCAACUCAAACCAGAGGGAUGUUCUGUCUUGUGUAUCCCCUUCAGAAAGGGCCACAACUACGGAACCUCUCAGCAUUAACCCAGAUAUGACACAGAAUGAACGUGUACUUGGCAUACAGUGGUCUAUAGAAGAUGACACAUUUGGCUUCAAUAUUGAUGUGAAGCAUUAUCCACCAACUCGGCGUACUAUCCUGUCAGUCGUGGCCUCUCUUUUUGACCCACUUGGGUUUUUGGCUCCCUUCAUAUUGGGUGGAAAGUGCAUCCUGCAGGAGCUAUGUCGCAGAGGCAACGGAUGGGAUGACCCACUUCCUCAGAACUUGCUGCCACGGUGGGAGGAGUGGAAAUAUGGUCUUCAGAGGUUAAAGGAAGUCACCAUACCCAGAUGUUAUCAUCCUCAAGACUUUGAUAACAUUAUUAGAGUGGAAUUGCAUCACUUCUCAGAUGCCAGCAACGUGGGAUAUGGUGCAUGCUCCUACCUCAGAGAUAAAAAUAACAACAACCAAGUCCAUUGUAACCUUGUGAUGGCUAAAGCAAGAGUUGCACCUACCAAGGUCCACAGUAUCCCAAGGCUGGAGCGCUCUGCUGCGGUCACUUCAGCAAAACUAAGUACUGUGCUUAAGACUGAACUUGAAAUGAAAAUUGACAGAGAAUUUUUCUGGACUGACUCCCAAGUAGUGUUGGCAUACAUCAACAAUGAAGCACGAAGAUUUCAUGUGUUCGUAGCCAACCGUGUUCAAGUGAUAAGAGCCAACACAGACCCAAGUCAGUGGCAUUAUGUCGACACUACACAAAACCCAGCUGAUCACGCCUCUAGAGGUCUUCAUGCAAAGGACAUCUCUUCAACUAACUGGCUUUCAGGGCCUAGGUUUUUGUGGGAAGAGGAGGUUCUCCCAGCGCCUAAUCCACCAACUGAGUUGCUUGUUGACGAUCCAGAAGUUAAAUCAGUCCAAGCCUUUGCAACACAGGUCAGCGAGCAAAGAGAUGUUUUGAAUCGCCUGAGUCGGUUUUCCACUUGGACAAGGCUCAUUAAGGUGGUUGCCAGAAUCAAGAGACUAGGGUGCAAGCUGGAACACCAAAGCAAACUUGUGACUGUUGAAGAACGUAAGGAGGCUGCCAAGGUGGUGAUUAAGCUUGUUCAGCAGGACACUUUCUCCCAAGAGCUAAGGCUACUUCGUAAGGGAAAUAGUCUUCCGAGAUCAAGUCCUCUUGUUCGCCUUGACCCUAUUCUGGAUGAUGGACUUAUUCGUGUUGGAGGCAGACUGAAAACGUCAUCCCUUGAUCUAGAGCUUAAACACCCUGUCAUUCUCCCAAAAGACAGCCAUGUCACAAGGCUGAUCCUGUCUCAUUACCACAACCAGAUUUGUCACCAGGGCCGUAAUCAAACCUUGAUGGAAAUCAGAGCAAAUGGAUUUUGGGUCAUUGGUGGGAGCAAAUCAAUUGCCAAAUACAUACACAAAUGUGUACAGUGCCGAAAGCUUCGACGUUCAACCGAGGAGCAACGUAUGUCAGAACUUCCCAAAGAACGUGUAGAAGUCUCAGCACCCUUCACAUACUGUGGUAUGGAUUGCUUUGGCCCAUUUAUCAUCAAGCAGGGCCGUAAAGAGUGCAAGAGGUAUGGUCUCAUCCUCACUUGCUUGUCUUCCCGAGCAGUCCAUAUAGAAAUGCUUGAAGACCACAGAUGCUCUCAUUAACGCUUUAAGGUGCUUCAUCAGUCUCAGAGGAGCUGUUUCUCAAUUACACUGUGACCAGGGCACAAACUUUGUGGGUGCCAAAAACGAGUUCAAAGAAGCACUCAAACAAUGUGACUUCAAGACCCUAGAGGCAUUCCUAGCAGAUAAGCAGUGUGAGUUUGUAUUUAAUGCCCCUUCAGCUAGCCAUGCAGGUGGAAUCUGGGAACGACAAAUUCGAACCAUACACAGUGUGUUAAACCUCACGGCUGCUCAAUGUUCAGGCAGACUGGAUGACGCUUCCCUCAGAACGCUGUUCUAUGAGGCUAUGGCCAUUGUUAAUAGUCGCCCACUGGUUGUUAAUGGAAUCGAUGACCCCAGCUCUCCAGAGCCGCUGACGCCAAACCACCUCAUUUUGAUGAAAUCCAAGGUUGCUUUACCACCUCCUGGAAAAUUUGUAAAAGAGGAUAUGUAUGCUGCAAAGAGAUGGCGCAGAGUACAAUAUUUGACUGAACAGUUCUGGAGUAGGUGGAAGAAAGAAUAUCUUUUGAAUGUGUCCACAAGGCAAAAAUGGCAUGUACCCGGGCGUAACCUAAAGGUGGAUGACAUAGUCAUUAUCAAGGAAGACACACUUCCAAGGAACCAAUGGCAGUUAGGACGAGUGGUUGAAACUACAGAAUCUGCUGAUGGUCUAGUUCGUCGAGUAAAGGUACGAGUAGGAGAUCGUAGGCCGACAAAGAAAUACGACCAUUCUCUCAAACCAUCAGUUAUUGAAUGUCCUGUCCAAAAGUUAGUACUUCUCGUGGAAAAUUAAUAAUUGGCAAACAGUUCAUUCAGGCACUUACAUCAGACAUGUAACAUGUUAUCACAAAUUCUCUCCGUUGAAACUCACCACCUGUGGUCCUUCAUUGUAGACUAGAAAUCAUUUAUGAUUGUGUUGUUUUUCUUUACUUAUUUUAAGUAUCAUAACAUGAUUUGGUGGGAGUGUAAAUGACCACAAAGGUAAUGUCAGUUACUCGUUGUGGGCGUAGCUCAAUUGAAGCAGACUCACCCCAGACCAUGUGAGCGAGCACGGAGAUUUACGGCAGACUCACUGCCUUCAUGUUUCUUCAAGUUUAAUGUAAGUUUGUAUGUUACUGUAACGUUUAUUAUGAUGUUGUUUUAUUUAACGCUAUUUGGUGAUAUGUAAACACUUUACAAAUCAUAGUUGAGUUUUCUUACCUCGCUUGCAUGCAUGUGCUAUUUUUAGCUCAGAUGCCAUAUGUGUGUCAGUCAAGAUCGAAGACUUCAACACGUUUUCUAAUUAUUGCACCCUUGGUAAGCGGAGCGAGGUAUGUGAUUUUGACUCAUCGUAUCAGCAAACAAAAGUUUAGAGAACCCUAAAUGUUGACAUUGGUUGUAAUAUUUGUUCUUUGGGAAACUAAAUAUUUUCACGUGCUUAUGCAGCGGUGCACAUUGGUCAUUUUUUUGUGUGUAUUACCAUGCUUUAUUCAGAGCUUACAUUCUGUAUUUAUGUGUAGACAUGUGUGUUACUGUAAUAUAUGUGAGUUUAUUUGCACUUUGUUAAAUGUGAGUGACCAUUAAGCAGCAACUUUGUUCAUUUUUAGUUUUCACGGUGCUUGAAGGAUGCUCAAGUGUUGCUGGACAAACUUCUGUGGAUGACACCAGCAAAUAAAUUCACCGCACCCGUUAGAGACUCUCCUGUGAAUUUUUUUUUGAUACCAAGGGCAGCUACAUUUAUCAUCUAAAAUGUGUCUCUUGAUGUUCACCUCCAAUGGCCAUUCUGUGAAAUUGUCCCAUUCUAGAGCUGAGAAGAGACAGCAGGAAAGGGAAUCACCUGCUAGUGUCGCGUCAGAUGUCUACAUGUCCACAAGUUGUUUAAGAAAAAGUAAGGUAGGAGGAAUGAAAAGAAAUAAGAUAAAUAGACUCUAAGGUAUUUGGAGAUGCAAGGAGUGCAGCGUGACUUUUUCUAGUAGAUACGACUUUUGCACACAAAAGGCAAGAAGUCACAGAGUUCAAAACCAGAUGGCCUGCUCUCUUCUGUGUUUCUAAGGUUGGUCAAUAAAUGUGUCUAUAUAUACAAUGUGAUUCUGAUCAGACAAACAAAAUAUAUUAAAAUGUAUCAAAAAGUAUUGUUUACACAUUUGCCAUUCAGUGCAUUGAUAACUUGUGUACUUUUUUCUUUUUAAGAAUAAAUUUAAGAGGACUACAACAGUUUGCUGCAACAGUUCUUCUCUAUGCUGGAUGGUUAUUCUUCAGACCUGAAAACGGUGUUUGGCAAGAAAGGCGGCAUUGAAGGACAAAAGAUUAAGAGCAUCAUGGUUCCCAUAACCCAGAGUAACUCCAUUGAUGUCAGAAGAGUACAUCCUUAAAGCCCAGCGUGUGUUCCUCAAUGAAGAUCCUGGCAACCUUGUGAACGAAUGGAUGAUUGUGGACGCCUUGGAGACAAUGCUUGAAGUUUUUGUCAUUCACAAAGAUGCAGAGGAAGAUGAUGACCCUGAAGAUGUAGUCAUCGUUUCAAGUCCUGGAUGAGUUGGGUAGUGUCCCACUUGCUGUGUUGUUGUUUGCUCUUGUAUAUGCUCUCAACCUCAGCUACCCUCCACUAAAAGUUGUUUGAAAUAUUGGCCCAAUGCUGUAUGUACAAUACUGGAUGUUAGCAACAUUUUGUAGCUGCCUUUGACAUUUGAAAGCUGUUUUAUCGUUUUUAUGAAGCUUAUUAAGUAUUCUAACAAGUCUAAAUCCAAUGUGCUUUGUGUCUUCUCCAACCUACACACCAGCUGGGGAUAUAUGUUAGUUUGCAUAAUAGAAAUACUGUUUCAAAGAUGACUUUAUUUGUAUGUAAUUUUGAAAAGCUAAUCUUGGCACAAAACAUUUGUUAACUUUACGUUGGUUGUGUUAGUAUAGCAUAAUUUAUUAAUUAAUUUAAAUUAACUUGUUACUACCCUAUACAAUUAAGUAACAAGUAUUAAUAUCUACAUGAUCAAAUAACCCAAGAAAAUUAUGUUCAAUCAACCCUAAAAACAUAAGUGGGACUGACCCAUGGUCAUUAGGUAACAUUAACACGAAUAUAUCAUGUUGCUUCAUCCUGUUUACAUUUGGUUCACUAAGCAAAAUGGUUUCUUGCUAUGUUAACGCAUUUUAGUUAGGUGGAAAUACUUUCCAUAAUUUUAUUAUGUUCAUCCAACAAGUUUUUUUUUCGAGUGUACAGGUGAAAUCCAAUUUUUAUGAAAUCACAUUUUAUGGGUUUUUAUACAAUUAUAUUUAAUAUAACAGGUGUAGUACUGGUGCUACUGGUAGGACUAGCUCUCUAUUUUGAGGAAAACCAAAGACUCAAAUCAACAACCCCGAAGGUAAAUAAAAUGCAGCACUUAUUCAUAUGUUUGCCCGGUGGUUUGUUUAAUUUUUAAUAUAAAUUUUACUGAAGGUUAGAGUUAUAGACUAUAGUUAUAGACUGUUUAUGAACAUGUUUAUUUGCUCUAUCUGAAAUGUUCUUGUCACUUUUUUUAAGAGUUGCUCUUUAAGAGGUUGACUGUUAAAAGGGACCUGUCCAGUCAGACUGACUGCUUGUCUUUGGACUGGACCUUGUCGUCCACCAGAGUCUUAAA